This 463-nucleotide ribosomal RNA is filed under the name uncultured bacterium. RNAcentral's name for it is "bacterial SSU rRNA". It matches the Rfam family "Bacterial small subunit ribosomal RNA", at positions 28 to 507 of the family's 1533-position model. The record is from RNAcentral.
GACGAACGCUGGCGGCGUGCCUAACACAUGCAAGUCGAGCGAGGAGAGUUCCUUCGGGAACAAACCUAGCGGCGGACGGGUGAGUAACACGUGGGCAACCUGCCUUGUAGAGGGAAUAGCCUUCCGAAAGGAAGAUUAAUACCGCAUAACAUUACAGCUUCGCAUGAAACAGUAAUUAAAGGAGCAAUCCGUUACAAGAUGGGCCCGCGGCGCAUUAGCUAGUUGGUGAGGUAACGGCUCACCAAGGCGACGAUGCGUAGCCGACCUGAGAGGGUGAUCGGCCACAUUGGGACUGAGACACGGCCCAGACUCCUACGGGAGGCAGCAGUGGGGAAUAUUGCACAAUGGGGGAAACCCUGAUGCAGCAACGCCGCGUGAGUGAUGAAGGUUUUCGGAUCGUAAAGCUCUGUCUUCGGGGACGAUAAUGACGGUACCCGAGGAGGAAGCCACGGCUAACUACGUG